GAAUAACAUUUUUUGCUAUUUUUGACCAAUAACGCAAUGAUACGUAAGAUAAUUUUUUCACGUAUCAUUGUGUUAUUGGGCGGGAAUAUCAAAAUAGUGUUAUCC
MicroRNA precursor from Prunus persica (peach), 105 nucleotides. It matches the Rfam family "MIR6274 microRNA precursor family". Lineage: Eukaryota; Viridiplantae; Streptophyta; Magnoliopsida; Rosales; Rosaceae. The record is from Rfam.